CCUACGGGAGGCUGCAGUGGGGAAUAUUGGACAAUGGGGGCAACCCUGAUCCAGCCAUGCCGCGUGUGUGAAGAAGGCCCUCGGGUUGUAAAGCACUUUCAGUGAGGAAGAACGCCUGGUGGUUAAUACCCAUCAGGAAAGACAUCACUCACAGAAGAAGCACCGGCUAACUCCGUGCCAGCAGCCGCGGUAAUACGGAGGGUGCGAGCGUUAAUCGGAAUUACUGGGCGUAAAGCGCGCGUAGGUGGCUUGAUAAGCCGGUUGUGAAAGCCCCGGGCUCAAACUGGGAACGGCAUCCGGAACUGUCAAGCUAGAGUGCAGGAGAGGAAGGUAGAAUUCCCGGUGUAGCGGUGAAAUGCGUAGAGAUCGGGAGGAAUACCAGUGGCGAAGGCGGCCUUCUGGACUGACACUGACACUGAGGUGCGAAAGCGUGGGUAGCAGACAGGAUUAGAUACCCGAGUAGUC
This 465-nucleotide ribosomal RNA is filed under the name Vreelandella stevensii. RNAcentral's name for it is "partial 16S ribosomal RNA". It matches the Rfam family "Bacterial small subunit ribosomal RNA", at positions 338 to 795 of the family's 1533-position model. Lineage: Bacteria; Pseudomonadati; Pseudomonadota; Gammaproteobacteria; Oceanospirillales; Halomonadaceae. The record is from RNAcentral.